GGUUCGAUUCUGGCUCAGAUUGAACGCUGGCGGGAUGUUUACACAUGCAAGUCGAACGGCAGCACGGACUUCGGUCUGGUGGCGAGUGGCGAACGGGUGAGUAAUGUAUCGGAACGUGCCUAGUAGCGGGGAUAACUACGCGAAAGCGUAGCUAAUACCGCAUACGCCCUUCGGGAAAGCGGGGACCUUCGGGCCUCGCACUAUUAGAGCGGCCGAUAUCGGAUUAGCUAGUUGCGGGGUAACGGCUCACCAAGGCGACGAUCCGUAGCUGGUUUGAGAGGACGUGACCAGCCACACUGGGACUGAGACACCGCCCAGACUCCUACGGGCAGCAGUGGGGAAUUUUGGACAAUGGGGGAAAACCCCGAUCCAGCCAUCCCGCGUGUGCGAUGAAGGCCUUCGGGUUGUAAAGAAUUUUUGGCAGGAAAGAAACGGCACGGGAUAAUACCCUCGUGCAACUGACGGUACUGCACAAGCACCUCGGCUAACUACGUGCCAGCAGCCGCGGUAAUACGAAAAGCGUUAAUCGACUACUGGGCGGAAGUGCGCAGGCGGUUCGGAAAGAAAGAUGUGAAACUUUCAGAGCUUAACUUUGGAACUGCAUUUUUAACUACCGAGCUAGAGUGUGUCAGGAGGGAGGUGGAAUUCCCGCGUGUAGCAGUGAAAUGCAGAUAUGCGAGGAACACCGAUGGCGAAGGCAGCCUCCUGGGAUAACACUGACGCUCAUGCACGAAAGCGUGGGGAGCAAACAGGAUUAGACACUUCUGGUAGUCCACGCCCUAAACGAUGUCAACUAGCUGUUGGGGCCUUCGGGCCUGGUAGCGCAGCGCCACUGCGAAGUUGGACCGCCCGGGGAGUACGGUCGCAAGAUUAAAACUCAAAGGAAUUGACGGGGACCUGCACGCCGGUGGAUGAUGUGGAUUAAUUCGAUGCAACGCGAAAAACCUUACCUACCCUUGACAUGUCUGGAAUCCCGAAGAGAUUUGGGAGUGCUCGCAGAACCGGAACACAGGUGUUGCAUGGCUGUCGUCAGCUCGUGUCGUGAGAUGUUGGGUUAAGUCCUGCAACGAGCGCAACCCUUGUCAUUAGUUGCUACGAAAGGGCACCCUAAUGAGACUGCCGGUGACAAACCGAGUGAAGUGCAUGACGUCAAGUCCUCAUGGGCCUCUUAUGGGUAGGGCUUCACGUCAUACAAUGGUCGGGACAGAGGGUCGCCAACCCGCGAGGGGGAGCCAAUCCCAGAAACCCGAUCGUAGUCCGGAUCGCAGUCUGCAACUCGACUGCGUGGAAGUCGAAUCUGCUAGUAAUCGCGGAUCAGCAUGUCGCGGUGAAUACGUUCCCGGGUCUUGUACACACCGCCCGUCACACCAUGGGAGUGGGUUUUACCAGAAGUAGUUAGCCUUAACCGUAAGGAGGGCGAUUACCACGGUAGGAUCUAUGACUGGGGUGAAGUCGUAACAAGGUAG
Molecule: ribosomal RNA, 1466 nt
Filed under: uncultured Bordetella sp.
Lineage: Bacteria; Pseudomonadati; Pseudomonadota; Betaproteobacteria; Burkholderiales; Alcaligenaceae
Description: partial 16S-23S ribosomal RNA intergenic spacer
Rfam family: Bacterial small subunit ribosomal RNA
Source: RNAcentral